CAGUCGCCGCGGUAAUACGUAGGGUGCAAGCGUUAAUCGGAAUUACUGGGCGUAAAGCGUGCGCAGGCGGUUAUAUAAGACAGAUGUGAAAUCCCCGGGCUCAACCUGUGAACUGCAUUUGUGACUGUAUAGCUAGAGUACGGCAGAGGGGGAUGGAAUUCCGCGUGUAGCAGUGAAAUGCGUAGAUAUGCGGAGGAACACCGAUGGCGAAGGCAAUCCCCUGGGCCUGUACUGACGCUCAUGCACGAAAGCGUGGGUAGCAAACAGGAUUAGAUACCCCCGUAGUCCCUGUCUCUUAUAC
Molecule: ribosomal RNA, 301 nt
Filed under: uncultured bacterium
Lineage: Bacteria
Description: partial 16S ribosomal RNA
Rfam family: Bacterial small subunit ribosomal RNA
Source: RNAcentral